CAAAGCAUCAGCCCCGUCUCGUUCCCCUACUUCCGUGUGCAAAUCCUGAUUCAAUCUCGACGUCCCCCAAAUUCCAGCCGCCGGUGUGCUACGCCCCUGCUGCUUGCCACAUCGCCGCCGGCGUACUCCUCGAUGCCAAGCACACCACCCCAGAUCGGCACGCUCCAUCCCGGUCGGCGGCCCAACUCGCGGCACUGCCCCAGCUACUUCUUCCCGCCGGCCACGGCGAUGCUCCUCCACUUGCAGUGACGCCGGCAAACUACGCGGGCUGCACGCGCCCCUUGGCUACGGCCAAGCUUCUCGCGCGCUGGCGUGUUGAUCUCCUUCAAGUUGGCUCCAUCGGUUGUGGCCUAGCUACUGUACAUUGACCUGCUAGCUGCAUCUUGGCAAAUAACUUCAAGUUCAGAGCAUGACGGCUCAUCUGCUGAGUAUAUAGAAGAACCAAGAGGAAGAUGAUCACAUGAUGGCAAAAGGAAGACAGAAGAACCAAAAAUCUGCUGGUGUGCAUGCCUCUGUCGAUGAAGAUUCAGUGCUUUGUAGAAAUGUCCGCACAAUUUGUUUCACUUAACUAGACCAAAUAAUCACGAACUCAAGUCAAGUAGCUUAGUAUUGUUGAUGCUUUCUUAUUUUGAAGAAAAUAUGCCCUAGAGGUAAUAAUAAAGUUAUUAUUUAUUUCCUUAUAUCAUGAUAAAUGUUUAUUAUUCA
Long non-coding RNA from Triticum aestivum (bread wheat), 705 nucleotides. RefSeq lists it as uncharacterized. The record is from RefSeq and is a predicted model, not a curated record. The transcript has 2 exons. Lineage: Eukaryota; Viridiplantae; Streptophyta; Magnoliopsida; Poales; Poaceae.